This is a non-coding RNA of Danio rerio (zebrafish), 73 nucleotides long. Lineage: Eukaryota; Metazoa; Chordata; Actinopteri; Cypriniformes; Danionidae. The record is from Rfam.
GCCCGGCUAGCUCAGUCGGUAGAGCAUGAGACACUUAAUGUCAGGGUUGUGGGUUAGAGCCCCACGUUUGGCG